RNAcentral lists this ribosomal RNA (202 nucleotides) under uncultured bacterium. RNAcentral's name for it is "partial 16S ribosomal RNA". It matches the Rfam family "Bacterial small subunit ribosomal RNA", at positions 524 to 721 of the family's 1533-position model. The record is from RNAcentral.
UACGUAGGGUGCGAGCGUUAAUCGGAAUUACUGGGCGUAAAGUGUGCGCAGGCGGCAGAGCAAGUCGAGUGUGAAAGCCCCGGGCUUAACUUGGGAAUUGCGCUCGAAACUACUUUGCUGGAGUGUGGCAGAGGAAGGUGGAAUUCCACGUGAUAGCGGUGAAAUGACGUAGAGAGUGUGGAGGAAGACCAAAUGGCGAAAG